This 277-nucleotide ribosomal RNA is filed under the name uncultured prokaryote. RNAcentral describes it as "partial 16S ribosomal RNA". It matches the Rfam family "Bacterial small subunit ribosomal RNA", at positions 524 to 801 of the family's 1533-position model. The record is from RNAcentral.
GACGUAGGGGCGAGCGUUGUCCGGAAUUACUGGGCGUAAAGAGCACGUAGGCGGGAACUUAAGUCAGGUGUGAAAGACCGUGGCUCAACCACGGGGUGGCAUUUGAAACUGGGUUUCUUGAGGGCAGGAGAGGAAAGCAGAAUUCCUGGUGUAGCGGUGAAAUGCGUAGAAAUCAGGAGGAAUACCAGUGGCGAAGGCGGCUUUCUGGACUGACCCUGACGCUGAGGUGCGAAAGCGUGGGUAGCAAACAGGAUUAGAUACCCGCGUAGUCCCUGAG